This 614-nucleotide long non-coding RNA is filed under the name Phaseolus vulgaris (common bean). RNAcentral describes it as "long non-coding RNA (PVUL_LNC001297)". Lineage: Eukaryota; Viridiplantae; Streptophyta; Magnoliopsida; Fabales; Fabaceae. The record is from RNAcentral.
GAAGUGUGUUAAAAAGAAAAAAUAUUUGAUAUAAAAAAGAGUGACUUGAGUUUUAUUUAAACAUAAGGAUAAAGAUAAGGAAAGGGUGAAGAAGGGUAGGUAAUCCUCCCUCCAACACUAAUGCAAAAUGAAAAUUAUGAUAUAUGUCACUCACACAUUCAACAAGGUCUCCAACUUAGGGACAUGGACCAAAGUUGGGCAGUCCACAAAGAGCGAGAGUUCUGUUGAGGCCAACAUUUAUGAAGGGAGAGUCGCUCUUGAUGCCAGGGAGGGCAAAUAUUAAGACAUCUCAAAGGCAACGACCAGCUUGACCAGCACCUAUCCCGACAAGGAUCUCGCAGCAUGGUUCGGCAGGGCUAUCGAUCCGCAGUACAUCAUGCACAACCUUGAACGCACAGUCCCUCAAAUCAGGACAUAUUUGAGAGGUCACCAUUGAGAGUGAGAGCAGAUUGAGAGAGAGGAAGAGAACAACGUAAACACUACCCUUCAAACCCAUUUCACUCUACAAACCUAAUUCCUUCACAACACUUUCUUACACUUUUCUUCUCUAUGUAGAUCGAUUGCGAAUGAUCAACAACUCAUCACCACGGCUAUUUAUAGCCCUAAAAUUUCUG